GACCCGUUACCCGGGUUGCGGACAGUGUCUGGUGGGUAGUUUGACUGGGGCGGUCUCCUCCUAAAGAGUAACGGAGGAGCACGAAGGUUGGCUAAUCCUGGUCGGACAUCAGGAGGUUAGUGCAAUGGCAUAAGCCAGCUUGACUGCGAGCGUGACGGCGCGAGCAGGUGCGAAAGCAGGUCAUAGUGAUCCGGUGGUUCUGAAUGGAAGGGCCAUCGCUCAACGGAUAAAAGGUACUCCGGGGAUAACAGGCUGAUACCGCCCAAGAGUUCAUAUCGACGGCGGUGUUUGGCACCUCGAUGUCGGCUCAUCACAUCCUGGGGCUGAAGUAGGUCCCAAGGGUAUGGCUGUUCGCCAUUUAAAGUGGUACGCGAGCUGGGUUUAGAACGUCGUGAGACAGUUCGGUCCCUAUCUGCCGUGGGCGCUGGAGAACUGAGGGGGGCUGCUCCUAGUACGAGAGGACCGGAGUGGACGCAUCACUGGUGUUCGGGUUGUCAUGCCAAUGGCACUGCCCGGUAGCUAAAUGCGGAAGAGAUAAGUGCUGAAAGCAUCUAAGCACGAAACUUGCCCCGA
Molecule: ribosomal RNA, 573 nt
Filed under: Salmonella enterica subsp. enterica serovar Muenchen
Lineage: Bacteria; Pseudomonadati; Pseudomonadota; Gammaproteobacteria; Enterobacterales; Enterobacteriaceae
Also listed under: 4 other names
Description: partial 23S ribosomal RNA
Rfam family: Bacterial large subunit ribosomal RNA
Source: RNAcentral